Molecule: ribosomal RNA, 465 nt
Filed under: Vreelandella stevensii
Lineage: Bacteria; Pseudomonadati; Pseudomonadota; Gammaproteobacteria; Oceanospirillales; Halomonadaceae
Description: partial 16S ribosomal RNA
Rfam family: Bacterial small subunit ribosomal RNA
Source: RNAcentral
CCUACGGGUGGCUGCAGUGGGGAAUAUUGGACAAUGGGGGGAACCCUGAUCCAGCCAUGCCGCGUGUGUGAAGAAGGCCCUCGGGUUGUAAAGCACUUUCAGUGAGGAAGAACGCCUGGUGGUUAAUACCCAUCAGGAAAGACAUCACUCACAGAAGAAGCACCGGCUAACUCCGUGCCAGCAGCCGCGGUAAUACGGAGGGUGCGAGCGUUAAUCGGAAUUACUGGGCGUAAAGCGCGCGUAGGUGGCUUGAUAAGCCGGUUGUGAAAGCCCCGGGCUCAACCUGGGGACGGCAUCCGGAACUGUCAAGCUAGAGUGCAGGAGAGGAAGGUAGAAUUCCCGGUGUAGCGGUGAAAUGCGUAGAGAUCGGGAGGAAUACCAGUGGCGAAGGCGGCCUUCUGGACUGACACUGACACUGAGGUGCGAAAGCGUGGGUAGCAAACAGGAUUAGAUACCCGAGUAGUC